Molecule: ribosomal RNA, 460 nt
Filed under: uncultured bacterium
Lineage: Bacteria
Description: partial 16S ribosomal RNA
Rfam family: Bacterial small subunit ribosomal RNA
Source: RNAcentral
CCUACGGGUGGCAGCAGUGAGGAAUAUUGGUCAAUGGACGAGAGUCUGAACCAGCCAAGUAGCGUGAAGGAUGACUGCCCUAUGGGUUGUAAACUUCUUUUAUAUGGGAAUAAAAUGUUCCACGUGUGGGAUUUUGUAUGUACCAUAUGAAUAAGGAUCGGCUAACUCCGUGCCAGCAGCCGCGGUAAUACGGAGGAUCCGAGCGUUAGCCGGAUUUAUUGGGUGUAAAGGGAGCGUAGGUGGAUUGUUAAGUCAGUUGUGAAAGUUUGCGGCUCAACCGUAAAAUUGCAGUUGAAACUGGCAGUCUUGAGUACAGUAGAGGUGGGCGGAAUUCGUGGUGUAGCGGUGAAAUGCUUAGAUAUCACGAAGAACUCCGAUUGCGAAGGCAGUUCACUGGACUGCAACUGACACUGAGGCUCGAAAGUGUGGGUAUCAAACAGGAUUAGAUACCCGAGUAGUC